GGGUUGUGAGGUUAAGCGACUAAGCGUACACGGUGGAUGCCCUGGCAGUCAGAGGCGAUGAAGGACGUGCUAAUCUGCGAUAAGCGUCGGUAAGGUGAUAUGAACCGUUAUAACCGACGAUUUCCGAAUGGGGAAACCCAGUGUGUUUCGACACACUAUCAUUAUGUGAAUACAUAGCGUAAUGAAGCGAACCGGGGGAACUGAAACAUCUAAGUACCCCGAGGAAAAGAAAUCAACCGAGAUUCCCCCAGUAGCGGCGAGCGAACGGGGAGCAGCCCAGAGCCUGAAUCAGCAUGUGUGAUAGUGGAACGGUAUGGAAAGGCCGGCGAUACAGGGUGAUAGCCCCGUACACAAAAUUGCAUGUGUUGUGAGCUCGAUGAGUAGGGCGGGACACGUGGUAUCCUGUCUGAAUAUGGGGGGACCAUCCUCCAAGGCUAAAUACUCCUGACUGACCGAUAGUGAACCAGUACCGUGAGGGAAAGGCGAAAAGAACCCCGGCGAGGGGAGUGAAAAAGAACCUGAAACCGUGUACGUACAAGCAGUGGGAGCAUCCUUCGGGGUGUGACUGCGUACCUUUUGUAUAAUGGGUCAGCGACUUAUAUUCUGUAGCAAGGUUAACCGAAUAGGGGAGCCGCAGGGAAACCGAGUCUUAACUGGGCGUUAAGUUGCAGGGUAUAGACCCGAAACCCGGUGAUCUAGCCAUGGGCAGGUUGAAGGUUGGGUAACACUAACUGGAGGACCGAACCGACUAAUGUUGAAAAAUUAGCGGAUGACUUGUGGCUGGGGGUGAAAGGCCAAUCAAACCGGGAGAUAGCUGGUUCUCCCCGAAAGCUAUUUAGGUAGCGCCUCGUGAA
This 854-nucleotide ribosomal RNA is filed under the name Kluyvera ascorbata. RNAcentral's name for it is "bacterial LSU rRNA". It matches the Rfam family "Bacterial large subunit ribosomal RNA", at positions 1 to 888 of the family's 2925-position model. The record is from RNAcentral. Lineage: Bacteria; Pseudomonadati; Pseudomonadota; Gammaproteobacteria; Enterobacterales; Enterobacteriaceae.